This 1159-nucleotide unclassified non-coding RNA is filed under the name Hevea brasiliensis (rubber tree). The record is from RNAcentral. Lineage: Eukaryota; Viridiplantae; Streptophyta; Magnoliopsida; Malpighiales; Euphorbiaceae.
GCUGUAAUGAAAAUUGUUACAUUUACAGCUGAGAAUGGAACACAAAACUUAUCCUAUCAUUGGCAUCAUUGCAAUAUUCUUUUAUAAGGGCUUUGCUGGGAUAUCAAUAUGAUUUGAUGUGGCUGUUUAUAUGAACAGACUUUAACGGAGUGGUGGUCGUGCAGAAUUAUCUAAAUAGGACUGGACGUGCAGAGUGGGCCAGACAGGUUAACUUAUGGUCUAUUUUUCAUCAUAAAGAAUCUCUCUCAGGAAUAUUCAUUUCUUUUACUUGCUUUGGUAGCUUAGGAAGUACCUUACAAUCUGCCAUCCCUAUAGUAAGCAAUUCUCUUCGUGAAAGUGAAACUUGAAGCUUAAAUGUUUCUUUUAUAAUGCAUUUCUUCAGAUUGAAUGCAUAUUAUCGUUGUUUUUUUUAUCUAUUGUUAUCAGUGCAUGGAGAACAGUUUUUGAUUCACUCUACCACUUUUUACCUUAAAGUAUUCAUGUAACACCUGAUAAAAAUCUCCAGCAACAUAAUUGAAGUGAGCUAGUCAAUCUGUCAAUGCGGCCUAAAAUUUUGAAUCCAGUUAAUGAAGGAAAACUGGAUUUAACGAUUGUUUUGAUUUAUAUCUUCAUUAAGAAAUUCAAAAUUUUCUUCUUGUGCUGUGUAGUUUCAUGAAGCUGCAAAGGAGAAGGAUGAUACUGCAUUGCUCAAGAUCAUGUCAAACUAUGGCGAGGAAGUAGUUACCGCUUUAGGAAGUGAAGUUGAUAGGCUUGAAAAGGAGAUCCAGGAGCUUGUUCCUGGUAUUCGGCAUGUUGAUAUAGAAGCUCACAAUCCAACAUGACAAACCCCAUGAUUUUAAUGUUCAUACAUCAGUAUCUUCUUGUCUUUCUAUAUUAUAUACUGCUUCGAUGAAUAUCAUGCAUGGCAGAUUAUAGGCUUUUUGGAUAUUUGUGCUAUCUACCAUGCAAAUUUUUAUAGUGAGACCCCAAACCUGUUAAGAUAUUGCUAGCUCUCCUGUAAUUGGUAUAUUAUAAGAAUAUGUCACCUUUGAUAUUGUCUGGAUUCUGAAAGGAAGUGUGAUUCGUUUGAGCAAAUUGGCUGGAAUUUGAUACACGAAGUUGAGCUGCCUUUGGUUUUUCAUGAAAUGAAUUAUUUUGUUAGAAGUUGCAUAUAUUGUUU